AGUCAGCGGCAGCGCGAGUAGUUUACUACUUGGCGGCGAGCGGCGGACGGCUGAGUAACGCGUAGGAACAUACCCCAAAGUGAGGGAUAAGCACCAGAAAUGGUGUCUAAUACCGCAUGUGCUCUAAGGAGUAAAGCUUCGGCGCUUUGGGAAUGGCCUGCGUCUGAUUAGCUUGUUGGUGAGGUAAAAGCUCACCAAGGCGACGAUCAGUAGCUGGUCUGAGAGGAUGAUCAGCCAGACUGGGACUGAGACACGGCCCAGACUCCUACGGGAGGCAGCAGUAGGGAAUUUUCCACAAUGGGCGAAAGCCUGAUGGAGCAACGCCGCGUGCAGGAUGAAUGCCUUAGGGUUGUAAACUGCUUUUAUAUGUGACGAUUAUGACUGUAGCAUAUGAAUAAGGAUCGGCUAACUCCGUGCCAGCAGCCGCGGUCAUACGGAGGAUCCAAGCGUUAUCCGGAAUUACUGGGCGUAAAGAGUUGCGUAGGUGGCAUAGUAAGUAGAUAGUGAAAGCGUUCGGCCCAACCGGAUAUCCAUUAUCUAAACUGCUAAGCUAGAGGAUGAGAGAGGUUAUUGGAAUUCCCUGUGUAGGAGUGAAAUCCGUAGAUAUAGGGAGGAACACCGAUGGCGUAGGCAGAUAACUGGCUCAUUCCUGACACUAAGGCACGAAAGCGUGGGGAGCAAACGGGAUUAGAUACCCCGGUAGUCCACGCCGUAAACUAUGGA
This 723-nucleotide ribosomal RNA is filed under the name uncultured bacterium. RNAcentral's name for it is "bacterial SSU rRNA". It matches the Rfam family "Bacterial small subunit ribosomal RNA", at positions 60 to 813 of the family's 1533-position model. The record is from RNAcentral.